Molecule: RNA transcript, 1963 nt
Organism: Erigeron canadensis
Lineage: Eukaryota; Viridiplantae; Streptophyta; Magnoliopsida; Asterales; Asteraceae
Exons: 5
Source: RefSeq, a predicted model, not a curated record
UGCAAAUUCUCUUAACUUAAUCUUUCAAAAGAUAUAGAGUUUGAGUUCUAAGUCAAGUGAUGGGUUGGUUAAUGGAUCAAUUGAUAAAUUUUAGGUAGAAGUCAUCAGGGUUGGGUUACCCAGAAGCAUAAUUUGCCUCUUAACAUGACUUUGUAGUCUCUUUUGAAAGUUUUUCCUCCAAAUGGGUCUCAAUUAACCUAAGUAGGAUGAUCGAUUGACCUUUUAUCAUCAGAUAUGCUACAGAUAUAUUCAAUGUUCUUGAGAAUUGGCCUUCACACAUCAUAAGCUUUUUACAGAUUUAUGCAUUUAUUUGGAAUUUCACAUCCUGCUAUUGUGAUAACAAAAUCAUUUUCUUUGUUUUGGACGUGUUGGGUAUUUAAGACAUACUUCGGCUAAUGUUCACCCGUUUUAGCCCGUUUUUUAAGUUAUCAGUAUUCUUUAUUUAAUCCGCUAGAAUAGUUAAAGAGGCAAUACCCAAAUGCACUCAUACACAGGUAUCUUUGUUUUGCCCAUAUCUACUUUAAUGGCUUAGCUGCGAGUAUAGGAGUUGAUGUGAAUACAAUUAAUGAGUUUUGAUCAAUUUCUUAAAGUAAUUUUUUUGACGGACUUUGUACCUGCUCUUUCUUUCCAUGCUUGAUUAUCAAAUGUGCCGGUUGUAAGAGAUACAAUCUGCUGGUUUUGUGUUGCUAGCUUCCUUUGAAACAUGUGAAAUUAUGAUUGUGUACCAAGUUGGACGGGGUGAGGUUGCUUGUCUGGAUUUCAAAGCAUGGAAAAGAGAAUUUAGGAUGUCAUGGUCUGAGUAGAAAGUCAGUACCCUUUCAUGUGGACAGUUUGUAGGUUGGGCUAUUACAAAAUAGAUUUCGUAUGCGGUGGGGUGUACUGUCACCAACAAAAUGAUGGUGUGAUUAUGCAUGGAAAGAGCUCUACAUCAUGUUCGAAGAUUACUACAUUCAAAUGCAAGUAAUCAAUAGAAGCCACACUCUUCUUAUCAAGAUCAGUUUCAUGACCAGUUUGGCUGUAAACCGACAUUAAUCGGUCAAAUAGAGUUGAAGUUUCAGCUUCACGCAACGAACAUUAGGGUAAAUUGAUAUGUGCCAAUCUAUGUAUGGUUCGAUAUAUAGCAAAACAGUACAGGGGACGUGGCCUCACCUUCAGGACCUUUUGCAGGUCAACUUAAUACGUCAAACUUUGAUUUUGAUGUGGCUAAAUGUAUUAAAAGAUAGCUGCUUUGGUUAUUUCUAACGUUUGAAACCUGAAAUAACCGUCAGAGUGACCAAAAUUUAAUUUUAAGAUGCUAUGUUGGUCCUUUGUCUGGAAAAGAAGUGAUUUUGGUCAAAAGUUACUUACACAUUAGCUGCCACGCCAUAAUUUAACCACUCACUGAAUUAGAUUGCCGUGAAUAACUUUAUUGGAAAACUGGUUUCCUGCUGAAAUAGUUGGUUAUUGCAACUCCAGGAAAAUUUUUAAAGUGCCAAAAGGUUAGAUUUCCUUGCAGCCCUGCAGCCCUUUUAGCUAUACAUGUGCUAAAGUUUAAAGCUGUUUGUGUUUAGGUCAGUGCAAAAUGGCAGCCACAAGAAUCCCGUGUGUAAAAUCUUGAGGCUCCUGUAUCUUCCCCGACUGAAUAGGCAUGUUGCAUCUCCUGGUGAUAGCCCAAAAAUAGAUGGGAUUCAUUUACAUAAUCUAAGGAUGUGCUGGUCCACACCACCGACCUCUCAUGUGGACAUGUGGAAAUGGCAGUGUUUUUAUACCAACCGACUGUUGAAACAUACACAUACAUAAUGUAAAGUGUGGAGCGGGUCAUGGUACAAGUACCGGUAGUUUAGGAAAGGAUGAAACAUUGUGCUAUAAUCGACCUAACCUAUAACUCUGCGAAAACUGUAUAGUCGUUUUAUGAUAACGUUGGAACUUUUCAAAAGUACCAUGCGGAAAUAGAUCUACUCUCUAGCCUUGAGUCGGGUUUUCA